Long non-coding RNA from Monodelphis domestica (gray short-tailed opossum), 3042 nucleotides. RefSeq lists it as uncharacterized. NCBI's taxonomy places the organism in Eukaryota, Metazoa, Chordata, Mammalia, Didelphimorphia, Didelphidae. The record is from RefSeq and is a predicted model, not a curated record.
CAAGAAGGUUCUAACUGAGAGACAGUUAGCUCUCUCAGCCUUGAGACAAGAAAGUCUCUUAGUCUGACUAAGACUUGAUCCUGAGGAAAGACUAAUUUUUCUCUCUUGGUGACUGGACAUCAUUCCUGCCAUCAAUUCCCAACUGAAGUGACCAGCUGGAGAAGACAGUAGAAGAGGGAAGAAUGCCUUAAGGAAACCUCCUUGCUCCUGGGGAUUGACAUUGUGGGAUCAUUUGAAGACCUAUGAAAAGAAAAUUCUUACAUUUUCCAUGUGGGACUUGGGCAUCUGCAUCUAGUUGAAGACAUAGGAGAGAAGGUUCAGGCACUUUGUCCCAAGAGGGAAGAGACUGAUCGAGGAUUCCCAGGACCUGCCCCAUUAUGGUAAAUGAAGUGUGGAGAGAGAAGCCUAUUUUGGAUGAAUGUAAGCUCCUUAAGGGUAAGGACCAUCGAGAGACUUGGCCCAGUGCCUAGAACUUGGGAAACAGUUAUUAAAAAUGUGUUUCCUGCCUAGCUGCUGUCCGUCCUGUCUAAAAUGUAUGCCUCAUUCUGCACCUGCAGCCUGUCGCCUCCUUGCUCCAUCAUUAUUGCCCCAAAGUUACCUUUGGUGACUGCACUGAAGGAGCUCUCCAAAGAGAUACAUCAAAUAUAUAAAUCUCGGAGACAAAAAGUAAUAUGUCACUUGUGCCAAAUGUGCAAUACAAACUAAGUGUCACCGGAGGGAACAGAAAGGGUCAGCUAUUCCCAGGGCUUUGACUAAAUACAAUUUGUGCAUAUUUCCUGAAAGCUGAGAUGAAACUUCUUUUUCAGUGACAAAGUUUAAAUCUGCAGAGGGACUUGUCAGCAGCAGUGGCAGAUGUUUGGGGCCCUGCGCUAUGAAGAUGGAGAGUUAAUGACUACAGGUGGUUAUUAUACCAAAAUGACAAAAAAAAAAAUCCAUAAAAACCCUGAGUGUUUUCUGCUAGCUGUGCUGGCAUAUUUUCAAACACCAAGAAAGGUUGCUUUCAUAAAUUAUCUUUCGAGUUGAUUUCCUAUUGCUAUUUAUGCUAUGGAAAAGUCUUAAGGAACACUCACACCACCAUCGGUAUUUGGGCUUAUUGGGGAAAACAGGUAAGGAGCGUUGCUCAAUGGCAUUCGGGAAGUUUCUACCCUGGAGAUAGCAACUGUGAACCCUGGUCUCCCGACGGAUACGAAGCGGUCUCCGCAGAAACCCGAACAAAGUUCUGAGGUUACCCAGGGAGGAGAUGCUCCAGAAGAACUUGCUGGUGGAUCUAGUCCGCGAUUACCUCUAAGCUUCUCCACCUGAGACUGAAGGCGGGUAUCCAGAGCUGCCGCGGAGGCGUCUAGCCUCCGUAGAAGGCUAAAUGCGCACAGGUCACUCUGGAACAGAAAGUAGCAGUGAGGGAUCUGCCAUUCCCAGAGAAAGGUCCUGUGCAAACAGACCCCGCAUCAGGAGGAAGAAGCUUUAGUCCAGAGCCUCUUGCCGUCCAUGUGCCCUCAGACAAGUCUCUGAACUACUCAGAGAUCCGUUUUCUUUAUAUAGAAAAUGGAUGUGUUCUAAAGUCCCUUGCAGCUCCAAAUCCAUGAUUUUGUAUUGUUGUUCAGUUAUUUCAGUUAUAUCUGACUCUGUGACCCCAUUUGGGGUUUUCUUGGCAAAGACACUGAAGUGGUUUGCCAUUUCCUUCUCCGGCUCAUUUGACAGCUGAGGGAAAUGAGACAAACAGGGUUAAGUGACUUGUCCAUGGUCACACAGUUAGUAAGUGUGUGCCCACAUUUGAAUUCAAGUCUUCCUGAUUCCAGGCCCAACAUUCUGUCCACUGUGCUGCCUCACUGCCUCUGAUUCUGUAUUGGACAUAUAGCCAUACAUGUACUCCUAAAAUUCCAUGUACUUGAACUAAGUAGGAAUACCCAUAAAAAGGAAUAGAAGAGAGUCACAAUUGGGAUUAUAUUUAAAAGUGAAUCCUGACUCCCUCCUUUAAAUCCAGUUUAAUUUUUUAAAAUUUUAUUUAAUUAAGAGAAUUUUUCCAUGGUUAGAUGAUUCAUGUUCUUUCCCUCCUCUCCUCCUACCCCUCUUCUGUAGCCAAGGGGCAGUUCAGCUGGGUUUUACAUGUGUAAUUGAUCAAGAACUACUUCCAUAUUAUUGAUAUUUGCACUCAGGUGAUCAUUUAGAGUCUACAUCAACAAUCAUAUCCCCUCAACUCAUGUGAUCAAGUUGUUUUUCUUCUCCAUUUCUACUCCUACAGUUCUUCCUCUGAAUGUGGAUAGCAUUCUUUCUUGUAAGUCCCUCAGACUUGUCCUGUAUCAUUGCAUUGCUGCUAGUAGAGAAGUCCAUUACAUUUGAUUGUACCACACUGUGUCAGUCUCUGUGUACAAUGUUCUCCUGGUUCUGCUCCUUUCACUUUGCAUCAAUCCCUGGAGGUCAUUCCAGUUCACAUGGAAUUCCUCCAGUUCAUUAUUCCUUUUUGCACAAUAGUACACCAUCACUAAUAGAUACCACAAUUUGUUCAGCCAUUCCCCAAUUGAAGGGCAUCCCCUCAUUGUCCAAUUUUUUUUGCCACCACAAAUAGCAUGGCUAUGAAUAUUUUUGUAUAAAUCUUUUCCCUUAUUAUCUCUUUGGGGUAUAAACCCAGCAGUGCUAUGGCUGGAUCAAAGGGUAGGAAAUCUUUUAAAGCCCUUUGAGCAUAAUUCCAAAUUGUCAUUCAGAAUGGUUAGAUCAAUUCACAACUCCACCAGCAAUGCAUUAAUGUCCCUAUUUUGCAAUACCCCCUCCAACAUUCAUUGCUUUCCUUUGCUGUCAUUUUAGCCAAUCUUCUAGAUGUGAAUUGGUAUUUUGCAGUUCUUAUGAUUUUUAUUUUUCUAAUUACAAGAGACUUAGAAUACUUUUUCAUGUGCUUAUUGAUAGUUUUUAUUUCUUUAUCUGAAAAUUGCCUAGUCAUGUCCAUUGCCAAUUUAUCAAUUGGGGAAUAGCUUGAUUUUUUUAUACAAUUGAUUUAGCUCCUUAUAUAUUUGAGUAAUUAAAUGUUUGUCAGAGGUUUUUGUUAUAAAG